Lepus europaeus (European hare) is the source of this 301-nucleotide long non-coding RNA. RefSeq lists it as uncharacterized. The record is from RefSeq and is a predicted model, not a curated record. The transcript is spliced from 3 exons. NCBI's taxonomy places the organism in Eukaryota, Metazoa, Chordata, Mammalia, Lagomorpha, Leporidae.
CUGGGCCCAGUCCCCCCAUAGCACUUGACCCGAGGGCAUGGGGUAGCUGCAGAGGCUUCCACUCCUGUGCUGCACGACAUGGGCUAAUGUGAGAGGUGCGGUCCUCUUCUUCAACCCCUUCCAGAAGACUACACCUCAGGACUCUGUUCAUGUUCCAGAGGAACAGAAACACUCUUUCUGCAGAGAGUUUGGUGCGGUGGCCUUCCUGUCACUGACUGCACACACGGAGGAGGAAGCCGAAGCUUAGAGAAUCCCCAAGUAUCCCUCUGUGCUCUGUUCCUGCCUGCCCCAAGAUUCUGAC